This 200-nucleotide long non-coding RNA is filed under the name Elaeis guineensis (African oil palm). RNAcentral's name for it is "long non-coding RNA (EGUI_LNC023666)". The record is from RNAcentral. Lineage: Eukaryota; Viridiplantae; Streptophyta; Magnoliopsida; Arecales; Arecaceae.
CCUUUCUUCCCGUGCCUUUGUGCACGACUGCCAGCGACGGGUGUCGCUGAUUUUUGGUCGGAAAAGAGACCCCCGUUUUGGCCUCUUUUUUCCUUUGAUUUUCCGACGCCGGCGAUUACAACAGACUGCCGGCCUUGCAUCUCCGAACCCGAAAAAGUAGCCCCCCUCUGCCGCCGACCUCCGCCGUGACGGCCAUGGCC